RNAcentral lists this long non-coding RNA (223 nucleotides) under Arachis ipaensis. Its description in RNAcentral is "long non-coding RNA (AIPA_LNC002211)". Lineage: Eukaryota; Viridiplantae; Streptophyta; Magnoliopsida; Fabales; Fabaceae. The record is from RNAcentral.
UCAAAAUCUCCACUUACCUUAUCAACCUCACUCUCUUUCACAUUCUCAUUCCAGCCAUAACCCUCAUCAUCAUCCCAACCAUCAUUAUCAUCACUCUCUUAUGCUUCACCUGUUUCCGGGGCACAACCACCUUCACCACCCAAUUCCUCACCACCAUAUUCUCCACUACCAGCUACAAAGUCCGAAUCUUUUUUCUCAUUUUCAGCUACCAUUUCAUCCUCAU